CAACGAAAAAAGAGAGGACUUUGUUUAACUUUUUAAACAGAAUAAAACUCAUUCUAUCUCUCAAAUACUCUCGAGUCCGAACAGUAGACCCUCUUGAGAACCUGACACCGAAGGCCUCCAGGAAGAAGGUCGCAAGGCAGGCUGGUGCCAAACAGAUGGAAAACUAGUGGAACCUCGGCUGCGGUCUGGGACUUCGUUUUGGGAGACUUGUCUGUAAAGGGCUUCUGGUAGGGUAAAAGUGCACCUACGGGACCUUUACAUACAUUUGUUGCCCCCACAGUCAUUUGAAAAGGGAUGUGACAGGCAUGGUGCUGAGCAAUGCAGAGCUACAGAUGAGAAGAAUCAGCUUCUGGGCUCAGGGCUUAGUCUGAGGGGGGACAGCUCUGAGGAAGAAUGGUGAUACAGCAGCUGGAAUCUGAUCCAGGUGGGGGAGCCAGUAGGAGGAAGCCGCUCUUGCUGUAAUCUGCCACCUCCCAACAUGGGGGUGUAAUAAACUAAUUUCCUGAGGCCUUGAUGUCUUCAGGAAUUCAGAGAGACUCCCUGCAUCACUUGAGGAAACAACUGGCUGGUUUUGUAGCAGGGAGGAGAAGAAGGCUGUGGCAAGACAGGCUGGUGCCAAACAGAUGGGAAACUAGUGAGCGAGAAAGGGCUAGACCCUCCUGCCUGCCGAUGUCGCCCCUCCCCUUUUUCCAGUCCUCUUGAUAUGUAACUUUUAAAAAGGUUAAUAUUGAAUUACAUAAUAAA
This is a long non-coding RNA of Manis javanica (Malayan pangolin), 744 nucleotides long. RefSeq lists it as uncharacterized. The record is from RefSeq and is a predicted model, not a curated record. NCBI's taxonomy places the organism in Eukaryota, Metazoa, Chordata, Mammalia, Pholidota, Manidae.